Molecule: ribosomal RNA, 394 nt
Filed under: uncultured bacterium
Lineage: Bacteria
Description: bacterial SSU rRNA
Rfam family: Bacterial small subunit ribosomal RNA
Source: RNAcentral
UAGAGGGGGCACCCCUGCUCCGCAACGCCGCGUGAGCGAAGAAGGCCUUCGGGUCGUAAAGCUCUCUUGUCAGGGAAGAAACAGCAGCUCUAACACAGCUGUGAAUGACGGUACCUGAAGAAUAAGCACCGGCUAACCACGUGCCAGCAGCCGCGGUAAUACGUAGGGUGCAAGCGUUAAUCGGAAUCACUGGGCGUAAAGCGUGCGCAGGCGGUUAUACAAGACAGGCGUGAAGUCCCCGGGCUUAACCUGGGAAUUGCGUCUGUGACUGUAUAGCUAGAGUGUGUCAGAGGGGGGUAGAAUUCCACGUGUAGCAGUGAAAUGCGUAGAUAUGUGGAGGAAUACCAAUGGCGAAGGCAGCCCCCUGGGACAACACUGACGCUCAUGCACGAAA